Molecule: ribosomal RNA, 193 nt
Filed under: uncultured rumen bacterium
Lineage: Bacteria
Description: partial 16S ribosomal RNA
Rfam family: Bacterial small subunit ribosomal RNA
Source: RNAcentral
UACGGGAGGCAGCAGUAGGGAAUUUUCGGCAAUGGGCGCAACCCUGACCGAGCAACGCCGCGUGAGUGAAGAAGGUUUUCGGAUCGUAAAGCUCUGUUGUAAGAGAAGAACGUGUGUGAGAGUGGAAAGUUCACACAGUGACGGUAACUUACCAGAAAGGGACGGCUAACUACGUGCCAGCAGCCGCGGUAAU